RNAcentral lists this ribosomal RNA (253 nucleotides) under uncultured Prevotella sp. RNAcentral describes it as "partial 16S ribosomal RNA". It matches the Rfam family "Bacterial small subunit ribosomal RNA", at positions 524 to 776 of the family's 1533-position model. The record is from RNAcentral. Lineage: Bacteria; Pseudomonadati; Bacteroidota; Bacteroidia; Bacteroidales; Prevotellaceae.
UACGGAAGGUCCGGGCGUUAUCCGGAUUUAUUGGGUUUAAAGGGAGCGUAGGCCGGCUUUUAAGUCAGCUGUGAAAGUCCGCGGCUCAACCGUGGAAUUGCAGUUGAAACUGGAGGCCUUGAGUGCACACAGGGGUGCCGGAAUUCAUGGUGUAGCGGUGAAAUGCUUAGAUAUAACUUAGAACUCCGAUAGCGAAGGCAGCUUACCAGACUGCGACUGACGCUGAAGCACGAGAGCGUGGGUAGCGAACAGG